GAUGAACGCUGGCGGCGUGCCUAAUACAUGCAAGUCGAACGCAUUGUGGUUGAAAUGAUAUGAAGAACUUGUUCAGAUUUGAUUUUCAACAUUGCAAUGAGUGGCGAACGGGUGAGUAACACGUGGGAAACCUACCUCUUAGCAGGGGAUAACAUUUGGAAACAAAUGCUAAUACCGUAUAAUAUUAAAAACCGCAUGGUUUUAGUUUAAAAGAUGGUCUUGCUAUCACUAAGAGAUGGUCCCGCGGUGUAUUAGUUAGUUGGUGAGGUAAUGGGCUCACCAAGACAAUGAUACAUAGCCGAGUUGAGAGACUGACCGGCCACAAUGGGACUGAGACACGGCCCAUAC
RNAcentral lists this ribosomal RNA (348 nucleotides) under uncultured bacterium. RNAcentral describes it as "bacterial SSU rRNA". It matches the Rfam family "Bacterial small subunit ribosomal RNA", at positions 28 to 336 of the family's 1533-position model. The record is from RNAcentral.